RNAcentral lists this ribosomal RNA (612 nucleotides) under uncultured Verrucomicrobiota bacterium. Its description in RNAcentral is "bacterial SSU rRNA". It matches the Rfam family "Bacterial small subunit ribosomal RNA", at positions 77 to 680 of the family's 1533-position model. Lineage: Bacteria; Pseudomonadati; Verrucomicrobiota. The record is from RNAcentral.
UAGCAAUAUCAGGUUGGGCCAGUGGCGAACGGGUGCGUAACACGUGAGUCAUCUGCCUGAAAGUGGGGGAUAGCUCGCCGAAAGGCGAAUUAAUACCGCAUGUGCCCCGAAGCAAUUCGGGGUAAAGCCGGGGCAACCUGGCGCUUUUAGAUGAGCUCGCGGCCUAUCAGCUUGUUGGUAAGGUAACGGCUUACCAAGGCUUCGACGGGUAGCUGGUCUGAGAGGACGACCAGCCACACUGGAACUGAGACACGGUCCAGACACCUACGGGUGGCAGCAGUCGAGAAUUUUUCUCAAUGGGGGAAACCCUGAAGGAGCGACGCCGCGUGGAGGAUGAAGGCUUUCGGGUUGUAAACUCCUGUCAUUUGGGAACAAUGCCUUACGUUAACUGCGUGGAGGUUUGAUAGUACCAGAAGAGGAAGAGACGGCUAACUCUGUGCCAGCAGCCGCGGUAAUACAGAGGUCUCAAGCGUUGUUCGGAUUCAUUGGGCGUAAAGGGCGCGUAGGCUGCGGGGCAAGUCGGGUGUGAAAUCUCAGAGCUCAACUCUGAAACUGCACUCGAUACUGCUUUGCUUGAGGACUGGAGAGGAGAUUGGAAUUCACGGUGUAGCA